UCCGUAGGUGAACCUGCGGAAGGAUCAUUACAGUGUUACUGCCCUCGCGGGUGGCAACCACACCCUUGUGUAUUAUAUUUUUAUUGCUUUGGUAGGCCGCCUUCGGGCGCUGGCGUUAGCUAGAGAGUGCCUACCGAAGACCCCAAACCCUGGUUAUACAUGUCGUCUGAGUACUAUUUAAUAGUUAAAACUUUCAACAACGGAUCUCUUGGCUCUGGCAUCGAUGAAGAACGCAGCGAAAUGCGAUAAGUAAUGUGAAUUGCAGAAUUCAGUGAAUCAUCGAAUCUUUGAACGCACAUUGCGCCCCUUGGUAUUCCGAGGGGCAUGCCUGUUCGAGCGUCAUUAAAACCAAUCCAGCUUGCUGGGUCUUGGGCUUCGCCAGCUGGCGGGCCUUAAAAUCAGUGGCGGUGCUGCCGGGCUCUAAGCGUAGUAAAUAUUCUCGCUUUUGGGCUUUGGGAGUUGCUUGCCAAUAACCUCUAUUUUCUAAUGGAUUGACCUCGGAUCAGGUAGGGAUACCCGCUGA
RNAcentral lists this ribosomal RNA (523 nucleotides) under Hymenoscyphus waikaia. RNAcentral's name for it is "eukaryotic LSU rRNA". The stretch from base 189 to 342 matches the Rfam family "5.8S ribosomal RNA". Lineage: Eukaryota; Fungi; Ascomycota; Leotiomycetes; Helotiales; Helotiaceae. The record is from RNAcentral.